RNAcentral lists this ribosomal RNA (64 nucleotides) under Stenotrophomonas maltophilia. RNAcentral's name for it is "partial 16S ribosomal RNA". It matches the Rfam family "Bacterial small subunit ribosomal RNA", at positions 1 to 64 of the family's 1533-position model. The record is from RNAcentral. Lineage: Bacteria; Pseudomonadati; Pseudomonadota; Gammaproteobacteria; Lysobacterales; Lysobacteraceae.
UAAGUGAAGAGUUUGAUCCUGGCUCAGAGUGAACGCUGGCGGUAGGCCUAACACAUGCAAGUCG